RNAcentral lists this ribosomal RNA (550 nucleotides) under uncultured Alphaproteobacteria bacterium. RNAcentral's name for it is "partial 16S ribosomal RNA". It matches the Rfam family "Bacterial small subunit ribosomal RNA", at positions 1 to 602 of the family's 1533-position model. Lineage: Bacteria; Pseudomonadati; Pseudomonadota; Alphaproteobacteria. The record is from RNAcentral.
CGGCCGCGGGAAUUCGAUUAGAGUUUGAUCAUGGCUCAGAAUGAACGCUGGCGGCAUGCCUAACACAUGCAAGUCGAACGAAGGCUUCGGCCUUAGUGGCGCACGGGUGCGUAACGCGUGGGAAUCUGCCCUCAGGUUCGGAAUAACAGCGAGAAAUUGCUGCUAAUACCGGAUGAUAUCGCGAGAUCAAAGAUUUAUCGCCUGAGGAUGAGCCCGCGUAGGAUUAGCUAGUUGGUGUGGUAAAGGCGCACCAAGGCGACGAUCCUUAGCUGGUCUGAGAGGAUGAUCAGCCACACUGGGACUGAGACACGGCCCAGACUCCUACGGGAGGCAGCAGUGGGGAAUAUUGGACAAUGGGCGAAAGCCUGAUCCAGCAAUGCCGCGUGAGUGAUGAAGGCCUUAGGGUUGUAAAGCUCUUUUACCCGGGAUGAUAAUGACAGUACCGGGAGAAUAAGCUCCGGCUAACUCCGUGCCAGCAGCCGCGGUAAUACGAAUCACUAGUGAAUUCGCGGCCGCCUGCAGGUCGACCAUAUGGAGAGCUCCCAACGCG